Strigamia maritima is the source of this 72-nucleotide non-coding RNA. The record is from Rfam. Lineage: Eukaryota; Metazoa; Arthropoda; Chilopoda; Geophilomorpha; Linotaeniidae.
UUUUUGUGAAAGACAUGGGUAGUGAGAUGUGAUUUGAGAUAAUCAUCUCACUACCUUGUCUUUCACGGAAAA